AUUUGGUGUUUUAGCAUACUGGAACCACUCUGAUCCAUCUCGAACUCAGUUGUGAAACGGUAUAGCGGUGAAAAUACUAGUGGGGGAGCUUACUGGGAAGAUAACUCAAUGCCAAAUU
RNAcentral lists this ribosomal RNA (118 nucleotides) under Aureoumbra lagunensis. The record is from RNAcentral. Lineage: Eukaryota; Pelagophyceae; Sarcinochrysidales; Sarcinochrysidaceae.